Molecule: long non-coding RNA, 507 nt
Organism: Daphnia carinata
Lineage: Eukaryota; Metazoa; Arthropoda; Branchiopoda; Diplostraca; Daphniidae
Exons: 2
Source: RefSeq, a predicted model, not a curated record
ACGAACAAAAAGAAAAUUCUUAGUUAGAUAGUGCAUACUGUCGUUGACUGUUGUAUAAUUAAACUAAACAUUUUCCCGAAAUUUUCCAAAGUUUUGUGGUGCCCUAAUACUUUUCUUAGUAUAUAGUUCUCUGAAUUUUUUCCCAUAGGUCUAACAUUUUCAUGUUACAGGCUUAUCAAGCUGUUAGGUUUUUGGACACAGAUGACCCAAGAAUUAUUUCAACUGGAGAGGCAUCACUUGUUGAGGUAUUGAAACAAAAUUUUCCCAAAGCAAAGCACAUUGAAGUGCAAGAUAUCUCAGAUGGCUGUGGUGCCAUGUACAAAAUCUAUGUGGAGACUCCAGAUUUCAAAGGUCUUAACACAAUCUAACAACAUAGGUUAUUCACCGAAGCCCUUAAACAACAGAUGAAGGAUAUGCAUGGUGUCAGAAUUCACACCAAGUUGCCAAGAGAUGAUGAAUGAACUCUGAAUGCUAGGACCAAAAUAAAAUUAUCAGUCAAGGUUUAAA